CCGACUCACUCUCCUCCCACCCUUCAGUACAGUGAGCCACUCAGGCGGAGGACGGGACGUAUCCCUGCUCUAAACCCACAAAGGGUGAGAGACACGCAGGACUCACUAGUCACGCUGAAAACAGGUCGUCUUUUAACUUGAUCCAGUAACCAUUCAAUCAGCUUGGUGUUUUCUCCUUUGCUUUCGUUGUAAAACUUCAGCUCAGUCAGCGUUUUACCGUUUUCUCCGCGCCUGUAUCGCUGGCUCAAACCGUGUCCCCGUUUGGGCUUGUCGGAGAGCUCAACUUUUACCGAACGGACAGAAACAAAUGAAAGUGCCCUCAGACAUACAGGAGCGUUGGGAGCCAGUGGGAUGUUAGCUGUGGCUGAGACAGCAGGAGCGACUGAAGGAGCAUGGUGAAACACCAACCCCUCCAAGUCUAUGAGCGCCAGCUGUGUUUGUCAUGUAUCACUGGGAUCUAUGGGUGCAGAUGGAAGCGCUAUCAGAGGUCACAUGAUAACACCACCAAGUGGGAGCUGCUGUGGUCUAUCAUCCUCCUUUUCACCUUCUCUCUGCUGCUCAUCUGGUCCUACUUCUGGUGGGAGGCAGACAACGACUACAAUGAAUUCAACUGGUUCCUGUACAAUAACUCUGGGGAGUGGGCUGAUGGAACCGUUCCCAUCCUAGCAACAACUGCUGCUGGAUUCACCUACAUUGCAUUUUUAAUGGUUUUAGCACUUUGCCAUGUUGCACUUGGGCAACAGUUGAAUUUGCACUGGCUUCAUAAGAUAGGAGUAACUGCUUCUUUACUCACCACUAUUGUGGGGAUAAUAUCAGUCAAUCAAACAUGGACACAAGAGUGGGAUAUCAUCCCCAUCUCCUUGCAGGCUACAGGUCCAUUCCUGCAUAUAGGGGCUCUUGCUGCAGCCACAGCCUUGUCAUGGAUUGUUGCAGGACAAGUUGCCCGUGCAGAAAAAACAAUCUUUCAGGUGGUGGUUGUGUUGCUGUACCUCAGUGUGUUACUAGGACUCUACGUUCUGCCACUUUAUAUCUCCUCCCCCUGCAUCAUGGAUCCCAGGACCCUUAAACCACGGCCAGAGGUGUUUGGCCACCAGGGAGCCCCCAUGCUUGCUCCAGAGAACACGCUGUGGUCGUUUCAGCGAGCUCUGCAGAUGAACGUCACUGGACUGGAGGCUGACGUAGCCAUAAGUGUGGACGGCGUACCUUUCCUAAUGCAUGACCUCACCCUGCGGAGAACCACAAACGUGGAUGAGGUUUUUCCAGACAGAAAAACAAAAGCAGCUUCACGGUUUAACUGGACGGAUCUGCAGCAGCUCAACGCAGGAGAGUGGUUCCUCAAGAAUGACCCCUUCUGGACCGCAGGCUCCAUGUCCCAGAAGGAAAGGAAUCUCACCUCCAAGCAGAGGGUGUGCAGCCUGGAGCAGCUUCUAAAGAUGGCCUCCGAUCACAACAUCACAGUAGUUGUCAGAUUGCGGAGGCCUCCUCGUGAUCACCCCUUCAACUCCACAUGGAUCAAUGAGACGCUGCAAGUAGUGCAGAAUUCUGGACUUCUUCAGAAUCUGGUGAUGUGGACUCCGGAUGAUGAGAGAGAGCAGGUGAAGCAGUGGGCACCUGGCUUCAUCCAGACCUCGCUGGUGAAACGCAGUCCAGAAAAUCUGCACAGCUCUGGCAUCAGCGGGCUGUUGCUCAGAUACAACCAAGUGAACACUGAUGAAAUCACAAACUUCUCCAAAAACAACAUCAGCCUUACUCUCUACACUGUCAACGAGCCGUGGCUGUUCUCGAUGCUCUGGUGCAGCGGCGUGUCAGCUGUCUCCUCAGAGGCCCCACAUAUCCUCAGAAAGGUGCCUUCUCCCAUCUGGCUCAUGAGCCCAAGAAAUUACCGGCUGAUAUGGGUGUCUGCAGACCUCAUUUCCUUUGCUGUAGUCAUAGGAAUAUUCAUUUUACAAAACUAUCACAUGAUCAGGUAUCGAAUGAGCGGCAUACGCAGCUACAAUCCUGAACAGAUCAUGCUGAGCGCGGCGGUCAGGACGUCCAGUCGAGACAUCAACGUCAUGAAGGAGAAACUGAUCUUCUCCGCUCAGCCUCAGUAAUGGCUCCCCGUCAGCAUCCUUUGUGUGACGUAUCGCCUCCUGACCAUCCUACCUCGUCCAUUCUCUCCGCAAGCAGUGACUGUCUCCCCUUUCCACCAAACAUUUCCUCAUCGCUCAUUAAACCUCUGCCUACUUUGCCCCUUUUCCCCCUCAUCCAUCCAUCCACCAUUCCAUCUCUUCGCACUCAUCUUCCCCCAUAAGCCUCCUACUGGGACAUAGAGUAGGAGAUCUUAUAGACCAGUUUGUCUAGACAACCUGUAGCCCUGGGGAGCAAAAAGGUGAGGAACGGUGGCAGUGCUGAGGAGCUGUAUGAAGAGCAAUGCUUUGACUCCUACACCAAUCAGAGUAUCAGCCAGUGAUUUCCUGCUCCGUCUGUCUGCUUGCUGUGGUGACGCAGGAAGCGUCAUUCCUGUUAACGAGAACUCUCAGCCUCCUGAGCUGCUGGAAACGCCCCGCUGCUCUCUGUACGCUCUGUAAAUACUGUUUCUGUUUCUCCUCACUGACUUUACAUUUAUUGCACAAGACUACACUCACUUGUUUUAAGCUGAAUCUGAUGAUUAUCUAAUAUCUAAAUGUUCAGGGGCUCCCCAUCAUUUUUUUUUUUUUUAGUUAAAGCUAAGUUUCCAAAAACAGUUAUUAUAUUAGGAUCUGUAAAUGUUAUGGCAGCAUGAUGCUCCUGCCUGCAGUCUCUGCUGUAGUUCAUAAAAUUAAUAUUUAUAUUUAAAGAGAUAAAACUGUUUACAGACAUUUUGCCUUCUCCCCCAUGUUCACACGGUGCAUGUAAAGUAUUUUGAUACUCCCCGCCUGGCGUACUUCUGAUCACUGGAUCCAAGUGUUGGAAACUUCUGGACUUUGUGUGAGCAGUGCUCCCAGUAAAACCAGAACUGGUGAAAAAUGGUUUCUAGGGUUAAGAUUUGCUUUUUCUUGGUUAAUUGUUCGUGUUUCCUUUUGUAAUGUGUUCAAUAUAAUGUAUGGAUUCUGACUGGGUAUAUUUUUUUUACCUUGUGUGCAGUGUUAUGAUGAAUGUGUAAUCAUAAGGAUAACUUAUUGACAAUGUGACACUUUAAUCAUUAAGAUGAACAGGCUGGCCUUUGAUUUGCUGUCAUUCUUUGGUAUUUUCAUGUUGGGAAACGUAUUGCAUGUGACGCCUGGUGUAAAUACUGUACUGGAAAAUAAAGUGAAGCUGGUUGAAGGGAUAUUACAUGUUAAACAAGCAGAACAUACUGGGAAACCAGUCGCCUUUUUUUCAUUGUAUAUUUUAGUUUGAGUGCUGCGAUGCGACAGAAUAACAUUCAUUCUGAUUGUUCCACAAAUGAUCUCCAAAUGAUGCCAGUUCCAUGAAAUGUUCUAAGUAAAGAAAAUCUUGACUUAAAUUAAGUUA
Molecule: RNA transcript, 3474 nt
Organism: Xiphophorus couchianus (Monterrey platyfish)
Lineage: Eukaryota; Metazoa; Chordata; Actinopteri; Cyprinodontiformes; Poeciliidae
Gene: gdpd5b
Gene name: glycerophosphodiester phosphodiesterase domain containing 5b
Exons: 18
Source: RefSeq, a predicted model, not a curated record